AUACGUAGGGUGCAAGCGUUAAUCGGAAUUACUGGGCGUAAAGCGUGCGCAGGCGGUUUUGUAAGACAGUGGUGAAAUCCCCGGGCUCAACCUGGGAACUGCCUUUGUGACUGCAAGGCUAGAGUACGGCAGAGGGGGAUGGAAUUCCGCGUGUAGCAGUGAAAUGCGUAGAUAUGCGGAGGAACACCGAUGGCGAAGGCAAGCCCCGGGGCCUGUACUGACGCUCAUGCACGAAAGCGUGGGGAGCAAACAGGAUUAGAUACCCUGGUAGUCCACGCCCUAAACGAUGUCAACUGGUUGUUGGGGAUUUAUUUUCUCAGUAACGAAGCUAACGCGUGAAGUUGACCGCCUGGGGAGUACGGCCGCAAGGUUAAAACUCAAAGGAAUUGACGGGG
RNAcentral lists this ribosomal RNA (395 nucleotides) under uncultured bacterium. Its description in RNAcentral is "partial 16S ribosomal RNA". It matches the Rfam family "Bacterial small subunit ribosomal RNA", at positions 523 to 918 of the family's 1533-position model. The record is from RNAcentral.